This 77-nucleotide transfer RNA is filed under the name Oxalobacter formigenes. RNAcentral's name for it is "tRNA-Ile". It matches the Rfam family "tRNA". From Rfam's summary of the family: Transfer RNA (tRNA) molecules are approximately 80 nucleotides in length. Their secondary structure includes four short double-helical elements and three loops (D, anti-codon, and T loops). Further hydrogen bonds mediate the characteristic L-shaped molecular structure. tRNAs have two regions of fundamental functional importance: the anti-codon, which is responsible for specific mRNA codon recognition, and the 3' end, to which the tRNAs corresponding amino acid is attached (by aminoacyl-tRNA synthetases). tRNAs cope with the degeneracy of the genetic code in two manners: having more than one tRNA (with a specific anti-codon) for a particular amino acid; and 'wobble' base-pairing, i.e. permitting non-standard base-pairing at the 3rd anti-codon position. Lineage: Bacteria; Pseudomonadati; Pseudomonadota; Betaproteobacteria; Burkholderiales; Oxalobacteraceae. RNAcentral also lists the same sequence under 1 other name. The record is from RNAcentral.
GUGCCGGUAGCUCAAGUGGUAAGAGCUUCAAACUCAUAAUUUGACGGCUGAUGGUUCAAAUCCAUCCCGGCAUACCA